GGAUGGGCGAACAGAAGUCAGCCGAGGCCGUAGUAGUUGCUCGAAGCCGGAGUGACGAAGGGC
RNAcentral lists this unclassified non-coding RNA (63 nucleotides) under Pseudomonas sp. NFACC16-2. The record is from RNAcentral. Lineage: Bacteria; Pseudomonadati; Pseudomonadota; Gammaproteobacteria; Pseudomonadales; Pseudomonadaceae.